CCCUUGCUCUGUGUGUCAAUAUCUCAUCAAACAUUCCCCUAGGAUAAUAUUUGCACACUUUUUUGUAACUACUUGGCCAAAUAUACUUGUUCCUCAUAGAUGGGGGCCUCCACAAAGGUAGAAACCGUCAUACUCAUGCCUCACACAUAGUAGGUACUUAAGAAUUAUGAAUUGAACAAAUAAAUAAAUGAACAUAAUUGACAAGAAACUGAAAGUAAAACAGCCUAAACAACUUACUUUCCCAGUAUGAAAUGCUUAUAAAAAACAGACUCCUAUCUUUAUUUUAGAGCCCAUUCAUUCAGAAUUUAUGAAAUACACUUUUUGAAGGAAUACAAAAAUACAAUACCUUUUAAAAUUGCACCCCAAAAAAAUCAAAUAAACCUGACCAAGGAUAUGAAAGACUUAUAUACUGAGAACUAUAAAACAUAAUCAAAGAAAUUAAAGAGGAUUCAAAGAAACUGAAAGAUAUUCCAUGCUCCUGGGUUGGAAAAAUUAAUAUUGUGAAAAUGGCCAUACUACUGAAAGCAAUCUACAGAUUCAAUGCAAUCCCUAUCAAGUUACCCAUGAGAUUUUUCACAGAACUAGAACAAACCAUCCAAAAAUUUAUAUGGAACCACCAAAGACCCAGAAUUGCCAAAGCAAUCCUGAGGAACAAAAACCAAGCAGGAGGCAUAACUCUCCCAGAUUUCAGACAAUAUUACAAAGCCACAGUCAUCAAGACAGUGUGGUAAUAGUACAAAAACAGACAGACAGACCAAUGGAACAGAAUAGAGAACCCAGAAAUAACGCAGACACCCAUAGUCAAUUAAUCUUUGACAAAGGAGACAAGAACAUAAAAUGUGAAAAAGACAGUCUUUUCAGCAAGUGAUGCUGGGAAAACUGGACAGCCACAUGUAAAUCAUUGAAACUGAAACACACCCUCACACCAUGCACAAAAAUAAACUCAAAAUGGCUUAAAGACUUAAACAUUUAAGACAAGACACCCAAACUGCUAGAAGAGAACAUAGGCAAAACAUUCUCUGAUAUCAACCCUACAAAUGUUUUCUCAGGUUAGUCUCCCAAAGCAACAGAAAAAAAGGCAAAAAUAAACCAAUGGGACCUAAUCAAACUGAAAAGCUUUGCACAGCAAAGGAAACCAAAAAGAAAACAAAAAGACAAUUCACAGAAUGGGGGAAAAUAGUUUCAAAUGAUGCAACUGACAAGGGCUUAAUCUCUAAAAUAUACAAACAACUUAUACAACUCAACAGCAAAAAAGCCAAUCACCCAAUGGAAAAAUGGGCAAAAGACCUGAACAGACAUUUCUCCAAAGAAAAGAUACAGAUGGCCAACUAGCACAUGAAAAAAUGCUCAACAUCACUGAUUAUUAGAGAAAUGAGAAUCAAAACUACCAUGAGGUACCACCUCACACCAGUCAGAAUGGCCAUCAUUAGUAAGUCCACAAAUAUCAAAUGCUGGAAAGGGUGUGGAGAAAAGGGAACCCUCCUGUACUAUUGGUGGGAAUGUAAAUUGGUAGAGCCACUAUGGAAACAGUAUGGAGCUACCUUAGAAAACUACACAUAGAACUACCGUAUGACCCAGCAAUCCCAUUCCUGGGCAUAUAUCCGGACAAAACUUUCCUUGAAAAAGACACAUGCACCCACAUGUUCACUGCAGCACUAUUCACAAUAGCCAAGACUUGGAAACAACCUAAAUGUCCAUUGAGAGAUGAUUGAAUUAAGACGAUGUGGUGUAUAUAUACACAGUGGAAUAAUACUCAGCCAUAAAAAAGAACAAAAUAAUGCCAUUUGCAGCAACAUGGAUGGAACUAGAAACUCUCAUACUAAGUGAAGUAAGUAAGAAAAACAAAUACCAUAUGAUAUCACUUACAUCUGGAAUCUAAUAUAUGGCACAAAUGAACCUUUCCACAGAAGAGAAAAUCAUGGACAUGGAGAACCAGAUUUGUGGUUGCCGAGGGGGAGGGGGAGGAUUUGGGAUGGACUGAGAAUUUGGGGUUAAUAGAUGCAAACUAUCGCCUUUGGAAUGGAUAAGCAAUGAGAUCCUGCUCUAUAGCACUGGGAACUAUAUCUAGUCACUUAUGAUAGAGCAUGAUAAUGUGAGAAAAAAGAAUGUAUACAUGUAUGUGUGACUAGGUCACCUUGCUGUAUGGUAGAAAAUUGACAGAACACUGUGAACCAGCUAUAAUGGAAAAAAAUGAAAAUCAUUAUUUAAAAAAGAAAUAUAACUUUUGAUUAGACUGUAUUUUAUGCACUUGUAGCAUCUGUGAAGAAGAGCUAACAAGAUGGGACAGAUUUUAUUGAUCUGACAGCAAUUUGGCAAGCAUCCAUUUAUAUACUAUUGGUAAGCUAAAUUAUCACUUAUGUUUAAACAGCAGAUCAAAUACUAUGAAGUUCUACGUACAUACAGAGAAUUUUGACUAGUAAGGUUCCAUCCUAUAAUGAGAAGAGAUAACAUUUCAUUUCUUUAAAUAAAAUAAAAUUCUAAUUAAGCCUCUCCAUAACUGAGAUUGGUCUGCCCUCUGAGGAGUCAAUUUGGAGAAUUUUUAUUAUAAGUAAUAAGAAGAAUGACACUUUCAGUGGGAAGCAAACCAACACUUUGGUACCUUGAAGAAUUGAAGCUUCUCCUUCUUAAGUUCAUGAGUAAGCUCAUAACAACUGUCAAUACCUGUUUCAUAUUUUGGAGCCUUGAGCUCCAAUGACCAGAAUAUGUGGACAAACAAAAGUUGUCAAGUUCCAUCCUGGUGAUGUGACAUGUUUUUCUGUAAGACUUCAAACACUCCUAUCCUUUAUGAGUUAGGAUCCCAGCUAGAUACAGAUGGCACAUUCAGACUGGAUAACUGAGGCGAGCUUAAUAAAGGCACUUCUUUACAAAGUCAUGAUCAGAGUAAAGAAAAACCAACAGGGAUGGUGAAGUACCAGAGGUUAACAGUGUGGGAAGACUGGCCAUCACCCCACUUCUUCCAGAAGGAGAAAGGGGAAAGGAGUGAUUCUCAAAAUUACAGCUGUAGGACAAGGCUGCAGGCAGGGGCUGUGGUUUUCAGAGAAGGAAAGCAGCCUCUGCCCAUCCACAUCCCUGCAAGAAAGGAAACUAUGGAAUAAAUAUGCCGAUCUCCCUCUCCUUUCACCUUUUGGUCUCCUGCUGGUGCCUCCCAUUAAUCCAACUCAACAAGAAGCCAAAGGGCAAGAGAAAAUAGUUGAUGCAGACCACAGAGACUGCCCUCCUAGGGCACAAAGCAGUGGAGGAAGGGUGGAGGGUGGAUUUGAUGGGUGAGAUGGAGAAUAUCCCAUGAAUACCCUUUCUAAAACUCUUCCACUGUGAAGUAUUUAUAACAUCAUUCAUGGGUUUAUUUCGCAAUACAUAUUCCUAGGAAUUGGUUGAGAAAAGAUAUGUAUAACAACACAUUUUCCAAUGAAAAUGACAUGUGAUGGUUCCUAAUAUUGCUUUCAUAGGAAUGCAAGAUUCACUGAUUAUUUCACUCAAAGAUAUGGUAAAGGCAAUUGUUUUAUCUCCUUGAAACCUUGAAAUGAACCAAAAGAAAAAUUAGGAGUUCCCGUUGUGGCUCAGUGGUUAACAAAUCUGACUAGGAACCAUGAGGUUGCAGGUCCAAUCCCUGGCCUUGUUCCGUGGGUUUAAGGAUCCGGCAUUGCCAUGAGCUGCGGUGUACGUCGCAGAUUUGACUCGGAUUCCACAUUGCUGUGGCUCUGGUGUAGGCCGGUAGCUAUAGCUCUGAUUAGACCCCUAGCCUGGGAACCUCCAUAUGCUAUGGGAAUGGCCCAAGAAAUGGCAAAAAGACCAAAAAAAAAAAAAGAAAAAUUAGAAAGCAAUGUCAAAAUUACAAACAACCCAGUCAAAAAGUGGGCAGGAGGAGUUCCUGUUGUGGCUCAGUGGGUUAAGAACCCAACUAGGGAGUUCCUCUCAUGGCUCAGUUGAAACAAAUUUGACCAGCAUUCAUGAGGAUGCAGUUUAAUCCCUGUCCUCACUCAGUGGGUCAAGGAUCUGGCCUUGCCAUGAGCUGUGGUGUAGGUCAC
RNAcentral lists this long non-coding RNA (4025 nucleotides) under Sus scrofa (pig). Its description in RNAcentral is "lncRNA (ENSSSCG00055028958.1)". Lineage: Eukaryota; Metazoa; Chordata; Mammalia; Artiodactyla; Suidae. The record is from RNAcentral.